AGUGAACGCUGGCGGUAGGCCUAACACAUGCAAGUCGAACGGCAGCACAGUAAGAGCUUGCUCUUACGGGUGGCGAGUGGCGGACGGGUGAGGAAAACAUCGGACUCUACUUUUUCGUGGGGGAUAACGUAAGGAAAGUUACGAUAAUACCGCAUCCGACCUACGGGUGAAAGCAGUGGAUCUUCGGAGCUUGCGCGGAUGGAUGAGCCGAUGUCGGGUUAGCUAGUUGGCGGGGUAAAGGCCCAGCAAGACGACGAUCCGUAGCUGGUCUGAGAGGAUGAUCAGCCACACUGGAACUGAGACACGGUCCAGACUCCUACGGGAGGCAGCAGUGGGGAAUAUUGGACAAUGGGCGCAAGCCUGAUCCAGCCAUACCGCGUGGGUGAAGAAGGCCUUCGGGUUGUAAAGCCCUUUUGUUGGGAAAGAAAAGCAGCAGGUUAAUACCCCGCUGUUCUGACGGUACCCAAAGAAUAAGCACCGGCUAACUUCGUG
Molecule: ribosomal RNA, 492 nt
Filed under: uncultured bacterium
Lineage: Bacteria
Description: partial 16S ribosomal RNA
Rfam family: Bacterial small subunit ribosomal RNA
Source: RNAcentral